RNAcentral lists this ribosomal RNA (440 nucleotides) under uncultured bacterium. Its description in RNAcentral is "partial 16S ribosomal RNA". It matches the Rfam family "Bacterial small subunit ribosomal RNA", at positions 338 to 795 of the family's 1533-position model. The record is from RNAcentral.
CCUACGGGAGGCAGCAGUGGGGAAUAUUGCACAAUGGGGGGAACCCUGAUGCAGCGACGCCGCGUGGGUGAGGAAGUACUUCGGUAUGUAAAACCCUAUCAGCAGGGAAGAAAAUGACGGUACCUGACUAAGAAGCCCCGGCUAACUACGUGCCAGCAGCCGCGGUAAUACGUAGGGGGCAAGCGUUAUCCGGAUUUACUGGGUGUAAAGGGAGCGUAGACGGCGUGCCAAGUCUGAUGUGAAAGGCCGGGGCUCAACCCCGGGACUGCAUUGGAAACUGGCAUGCUGGAGUGCAGGAGGGGUAAGCGGAAUUCCUAGUGUAGCGGUGAAAUGCGUAGAUAUUAGGAGGAACACCAGUGGCGAAGGCGGCUUGCUGGACGGUAACUGACGUUGAGGCUCGAAAGCGUGGGGAGCAAACAGGAUUAGAUACCCUGGUAGUC